RNA transcript from Scophthalmus maximus (turbot), 1435 nucleotides. RefSeq lists it as uncharacterized. The transcript is spliced from 9 exons. Lineage: Eukaryota; Metazoa; Chordata; Actinopteri; Pleuronectiformes; Scophthalmidae. The record is from RefSeq and is a predicted model, not a curated record.
CUCUCCGUCCUGCUGUUGAGAGCUCCGACCAGGCUUGUUAAAAUUAAUCUCCGUGCUCGACCAGGGAACAGGACAGUUGUUUCUCUUGCCGUGGACCGCUCUGAGCCGCGUUGAGAACCGAUGUUCCUAAACGCCCCACAAGCAGGCUGCACAAGUGCACUGUGGCCGUGGAAGGGAAAGUUGCGUUCGGGGGAAACUCGUACCCUCUGUUCAGGUGGAUUAUCCUGUCCAACUGCUUCGUCUGCCACCCGAGAUUCAUCGCCGCUGCCUGUGCACCUUGUCCGGAUGCUGACAUCUGGAUGUUGGUCAAGUCCAAGGGGGCAGGUUCCACUCCUCCUGUCAAGGUGGAUGGUAGUCACCGGGGCGGAUGUUGGACGUGAAUGUAGGAGCAGCAUGGUCAUCACUGAGGGCAUACAGAGGAGUUGGAGGAAGGACAAUAGAGUGUGUCUUGGCCCAUCGGAGGCGGCUGGCCGCCAGGACUCUCUCAGCUCGCUCCCUCAAGACCCCUGGCUCCACAGAAACAGGAAAUGGCCGCAUUUGGCUGAUUAUCCCUGGAGGAGGAACAUGGAUGGGUUCCUGAGACUGACUCAUGGUUUCUGUUUGGAGAGGUCCAGUACAGUGCAGGCCGGCCCGACUGGAACCUGUGUUUACACAGCCUCUCAGGCCAGACUGGGAGGCCCUAUUUUCACACCCAGGUGCUUUCCAAAGAAAACCUCCUGCAGAGGCCCCUCGCCUAAGACGCCUCCAUCAGAGUGAAAACCUCCCGUCUCAGGCCACCAGGAGGAGUCCCCCUCGUGCCAGCAGGGCAGGCGGUUGAAUGUGACCCAUCAGCAGAGUCCGGUCACUUCUCCAGUCUGUACCGCAGCAGCAGCAGCAGCAGCAGCAGCAGCAGCAGCAGCAGCAGCGUGGCCCACACCCAGUCUGAGCCUCGGGCAGACCGCCAUGAUCUCAGCUUCUCCGUAAAUGUUUCAAGUCCGAGAGACCGUCAGCUAUCAAAGGCCUAGAGACUUGCACCUCUGGAAGUGAUGGAUGAACCCAAGGUCUGGAGAGACAAGUCAUGGACAGAUGGCUCAGAUACACACACUCCAAUUCCAACACAGCGGCCUCCAGACUAAAGCAAGAGGGACAUCUAGUGGUGGAGAGUGUAACUCCACCAUCACUACAUAUUUCUCCCAUCCUGAACUGGUGGAAACUUAAUCGAAAAAUCUCUAGCAAAUGUUUGAAUUGCCAAGUUUCAAACAGCCACUGUAAAAUUUGGAAAAAAGUAUAUUAUUAAUUUAGCCAAUAAUGCAUGCAAUGAAAAAGGUUACUCAUAAAUUUAGGAAAACAUCUCCACUGCUUUUAAAGAGUUCCUAUUCAAAAAAAAUGGCAUAAUUAUAAAUGUUGAGUGAAUCAAGACAAUUAAUAGUCAUUUGAAUUAAAAUGAAUACACCUU